This 496-nucleotide ribosomal RNA is filed under the name uncultured bacterium. RNAcentral's name for it is "partial 16S ribosomal RNA". It matches the Rfam family "Bacterial small subunit ribosomal RNA", at positions 28 to 507 of the family's 1533-position model. The record is from RNAcentral.
GACGAACGCUGGCGGCGUGCCUAAUACAUGCAAGUUGAGCGCUGAAGGUUGGUACUUGUACCAACUGGAUGAGCAGCGAACGGGUGAGUAACGCGUGGGGAAUCUGCCUUUGAGCGGGGGACAACAUUUGGAAACGAAUGCUAAUACCGCAUAAAAACUUUAAACACAAGUUUUAAGUUUGAAAGAUGCAAUUGCAUCACUCAAAGAUGAUCCCGCGUUGUAUUAGCUAGUUGGUGAGGUAAAGGCUCACCAAGGCGAUGAUACAUAGCCGACCUGAGAGGGGGAUGGGCCACAUGGGAACUGGACACCGGCCAAAACCCCUACGGGAGGAACAGGAGGGGAACCUUCGGCAAUGGAGGAAAGCUGGACGGACAACGGCGGCGGGAGUGAGGAAGGUUUCCGGUCCGUAAACCCCUGUUGGUGGGGAAGAACGUGGUGGGGAGUGAAAGGCCCACAAGUGACGGUAACCAACCAAAAAGGGACGGCUAAAUUACUG